AUCAACUUUCGAUGGUAGGAUAGAGGCCUACCAUGGUGGUAACGGGUAACGGGGUGUUAGGGCACGACACCGGAGAGGGAGCCUGAGAAACGGCUACCACAUCCAAGGAUGGCAGCAGGCGCGCAAAUUACCCAAUCCCGACACGGGGAGGUAGUGACAAUAAAUAACAAUACGGGGUUCUUUUGGAUCUCGUAAUUGGAAUGAGUACAAUUUAAAUCUCUUAACGAGGAACAAUUGGAGGGCAAGUCUGGUGCCAGCAGCCGCGGUAAUUCCAGCUCCAAUAGCGUAUAUUAAAGUUGUUGCAGUUAAAAAGCUCGUAGUUGAAUUUCAAGACCGGCUUAUUGGUCGUGCUUUUGUACGUACUGGUAUAAUCNGUUUCUCCUUUCUGACGAACUAUAAUGCCAUUAAUUUGGUGUUAUAGGGAAUCAGGACUGUUACUUUGAAAAAAUUAGAGUGUUUAAAGCAGGCUCACGCUUGAAUACAUUAGCAUGGAAUAACGGAAUAGGACGUUUGAUUCUAUUUUGUUGGUUUCUAGGAUCGACGUAAUGAUUAAUAGGGAUAGUUGGGGGCAUUAGUAUUCAAUUGUCAGAGGUGAAAUUCUUGGAUUUAUUGAAGACUAACUACUGCGAAAGCAUUUGCCAAGGAUGUUUUCAUUAAUCAAGAACGAAAGUUAGGGGAUCGAAGACGAUCAGAUACCGUCGUAGUCUUAACCAUAAACUAUGCCGACUAGGGAUCGGAUGAUGUUAAUUUUUUAAUGACUCAUUCGGCGCCUUACGGGAAACCAAAGUGUUUGGGUUC
Molecule: ribosomal RNA, 798 nt
Filed under: uncultured Glomus
Lineage: Eukaryota; Fungi; Glomeromycota; Glomeromycetes; Glomerales; Glomeraceae
Description: SSU rRNA
Rfam family: Eukaryotic small subunit ribosomal RNA
Source: RNAcentral